Potamilus streckersoni is the source of this 72-nucleotide non-coding RNA. Lineage: Eukaryota; Metazoa; Mollusca; Bivalvia; Unionida; Unionidae. The record is from the annotation of a GenBank genome assembly.
GCUCCGGUGGCCUAGUGAUUAGAGCGUCCGCCUCGGAUGUGGGAGAACGCAGGUUCGAACAUCGGCCGAGUU